Microcebus murinus (gray mouse lemur) is the source of this 405-nucleotide non-coding RNA. The record is from the annotation of a RefSeq genome assembly. NCBI's taxonomy places the organism in Eukaryota, Metazoa, Chordata, Mammalia, Primates, Cheirogaleidae.
AUGUUGCUCUGCAGCCUGCUGAAGGUGGUCACAGCUUCAAUGUGGCUAGGAUCUGGUAUGGCCCAGAAGGUAACCCAGUCCCAACCAGCAAUGUGGGUGCAGGAGAAGGAGGCUGUGACCCUGGACUGCGCAUACGACACCAGUGUUAGUCGUUUUUCUCUAUUCUGGUACAAGCAGCCCAGCAGUGGGGAGUUGAUUUUCCUUAUUCGGCAAGACUCCUAUAAUGAGCAAAAUGCAACUGAAGGUCGCUACUCAUUGAAUUUCCAGAAGGCAAGAAAAUCAAUCCACCUUACCAUCUCAGCUUCACAACUGGAGGACUCAGCGAUGUAUUUCUGUGCACUGAAAGACCUCACAGUGAGAGGACUGUUGGAGGAAGUUGUACAAAAACCCCUGGAGUUGGCUUGA